AUUGGCGUGUAUAGGCAUGUCGGAUCCCUGCUUAGGCAGCGACGACAUGCCAUGCAUGCCUUUUCAGUUGGUGGUCCAAGUGCGUGCUAGCGUUGGCCGUUGUUGGUUUCCUGCGUUGCAUACCUAUUGCGAGGGCAUUCAGUCGGCUAAAAACGUCUCAUUUUCGCCUUGUGUCGUGUCUCUAAGGCUACGGCGCGGGGUGGACCUUGAAGCACCCAUUGUGUUCCACUUCCCUUGCGUUGUUAACACACGUUCGGGUUGUUGGCCCAUGAUGUCGUGCUUGAUCUCUCGGAUGCGGAAAAUCUAGUGGGCAUGAGGCCUAUGGUCUCUAUUUGUCCCGAAACAAAGCGUUCUAUGCUUCGUGCGAACGAUAACCGAUGCCGUUUUAAUUGAGCCCUUGGGCUUGGUUCAUGCGGUGCCGGUGUCGAUAAGGAAUGCUACCUGGUUGAUCCUGCCAG
This 458-nucleotide unclassified non-coding RNA is filed under the name Tecomaria nyassae. RNAcentral's name for it is "partial contains external transcribed spacer and 18S ribosomal RNA; ETS". The record is from RNAcentral. Lineage: Eukaryota; Viridiplantae; Streptophyta; Magnoliopsida; Lamiales; Bignoniaceae.